Molecule: unclassified non-coding RNA, 357 nt
Filed under: soil metagenome
Description: partial contains 5.8S ribosomal RNA, internal transcribed spacer 2, and large subunit ribosomal RNA
Rfam family: 5.8S ribosomal RNA (bases 1-120)
Source: RNAcentral
GAUGAAGAACGCAGCGAAAUGCGAUAAGUAAUGUGAAUUGCAGAAUUCAGUGAAUCAUCGAAUCUUUGAACGCACAUUGCGCCCGUCAGUAUUCUGGCGGGCAUGCCUGUUCGAGCGUCAUUACGCCCCUCAAGUCCCCUGUGGACUUGGUGUUGGGGAUCGGCGAGGCUGGUUUUCCAGCACAGCCGUCCCUUAAAUUAAUUGGCGGUCUCGCCGUGGCCCUCCUCUGCGCAGUAGUAAAACACUCGCAACAGGAGCCCGGCGCGGUCCACUGCCGUAAACACCCCAACUUUUUAUAGUUGACCUCGAAUCAGGUAGGACUACCCGCUGAACUUAAGCAUAUCAAUAAGCGGAGGA